CGGGUGAGUAACGCGUGGGCAACCUGCCUCAUACAGGGGGAUAGCAUCGGGAAACUGGUGGUAAAACCGCAUAAGCGCACGAAGACGCAUGUAUUCGUGUGAAAAGGAGAAAUCUGGUAUGAGAUGGACCCGCGUCUGAUUAGCUAGUUGGAGUGGUAAAAGCACACCAAGGCGACGAUCAGUAGCCGGCCUGAGAGGGUGGACGGCCACAUUGGGACUGAGACACGGCCCAAACUCCUACGGGAGGCAGCAG
This 253-nucleotide ribosomal RNA is filed under the name uncultured bacterium. RNAcentral describes it as "partial 16S ribosomal RNA". It matches the Rfam family "Bacterial small subunit ribosomal RNA", at positions 103 to 354 of the family's 1533-position model. The record is from RNAcentral.